AAGGACUGUAGUUUGUACCGUUUAUACUUAACGUUUGGUAUUUCGUCUUAUUUGAAAAAAAUAUGAUUAGUAUUUUAUUAUUAGAUGAUAAAACAUGAAUAAUACUUUAUGUGAUUAUUUUAUUUAUUUUUUUCAUAAAAUUUCCUAAUAAGAUGGACGGUCAACCAUUGGAUACGUAAACUCACAACUAUACUUAAA
This is a microRNA precursor of Oryza sativa Indica Group (long-grained rice), 198 nucleotides long. It matches the Rfam family "MIR812 microRNA precursor family". The record is from Rfam. NCBI's taxonomy places the organism in Eukaryota, Viridiplantae, Streptophyta, Magnoliopsida, Poales, Poaceae.